This 431-nucleotide ribosomal RNA is filed under the name uncultured bacterium. RNAcentral describes it as "partial 16S ribosomal RNA". It matches the Rfam family "Bacterial small subunit ribosomal RNA", at positions 338 to 795 of the family's 1533-position model. The record is from RNAcentral.
CCUACGGGGGGCAGCAGUGGGGAAUAUUGGACAAUGGGCGAAAGCCUGAUCCAGCGAUGCCGCGUGUGUGAAGAAGGCCUGCGGGUUGUAAAGCACUUUCAGUAGGGAAGCGUUACCUAAAGAAGAAGCACCGGCUAACUCCGUGCCAGCAGCCGCGGUAAUACGGAGGGUGCGAGCGUUAAUCGGAAUUACUGGGCGUAAAGGGCGCGUAGGCGGUGAAGUAAGUCGGGUGUGAAAGCCCCGGGCUCAACCUGGGAACUGCAUUCGAUACUGCUUCGCUAGAGUAUGGUAGAGGGAAGCGGAAUUCCGGGUGUAGCGGUGAAAUGCGUAGAUAUCCGGAGGAACACCAGUGGCGAAGGCGGCUUCCUGGACCAUCUGACGCUGAGGCGCGAAAGCGUGGGGAUCAAACAGGAUUAGAUACCCUUGUAGUC